Molecule: ribosomal RNA, 465 nt
Filed under: uncultured bacterium
Lineage: Bacteria
Description: partial 16S ribosomal RNA
Rfam family: Bacterial small subunit ribosomal RNA
Source: RNAcentral
GACGAACGCUGGCGGCGUGCUUAACACAUGCAAGUCGAACGGAAAGGCCCUGCUUGCAGGGUACUCGAGUGGCGAACGGGUGAGUAACUCGUGGGUGAUCUGCCCUGCACUUCGGGAUAAGCCUGGUAAACUGGGUCUAAUACCGGCUAGGAGCCAUUUUUAGUGUGAUGGUUGGAAAGUUUUUUGGGUGUAGGAUGAGCUCGCGGCCUAUCGGCUUGUUGGUGGGGUAAUGGCCUACCAAGGCGGCGACGGGUAGCCGGCCUGAGAGGGUGGACGGCCACAAUGGGACUGAGGUGCGGCCCAGACUCCGACGGGAGGCAGCAGGGGGGAAUAUUGCACAAGGGGCGCAAGCCUGAUGCAGAGACGCCGCGUGGGGGAAGACGGCCUUCGGGUUGUAAACUACUUUCGCUAGGGACGAAGCUUUUUGUGACGGUACCUAGAUAAGAAGCACCGGCUAACUACGUG